Xenia sp. Carnegie-2017 is the source of this 74-nucleotide long non-coding RNA. RefSeq lists it as uncharacterized. The record is from RefSeq and is a predicted model, not a curated record. The transcript is spliced from 3 exons. Lineage: Eukaryota; Metazoa; Cnidaria; Anthozoa; Malacalcyonacea; Xeniidae.
GGCCGCACCUCGGUACUUGCCAGUAAUGUGGCAGUGGUCUCGCACGGAAUUGCCUUCGAGGGCCUAGAUUAAUA